CCUUCGGUAGCUCAGUUGGUAGAGCGGUGGACUGUAGUGUUUGUUAUAGCGUUAGAUAUCCAUAGGUCGCUGGUUCAAAUCCGGCCCGAAGGA
RNAcentral lists this transfer RNA (93 nucleotides) under Cinara cedri. It matches the Rfam family "tRNA". Rfam says of the family: Transfer RNA (tRNA) molecules are approximately 80 nucleotides in length. Their secondary structure includes four short double-helical elements and three loops (D, anti-codon, and T loops). Lineage: Eukaryota; Metazoa; Arthropoda; Insecta; Hemiptera; Aphididae. The record is from Rfam by way of RNAcentral.